GAGGAACUCUGGCGGCGUGCUUAACACAUGCAAGUCGAACGAUGAUGCCCACCUUGCUGGGCGGAUUAUUGGCGAACGGGUGAGUAACACGUGAGUAACCUGCCCCUGACUCUGGGAUAAGCGUUGGAAACGACGUCUAAUACUGGAUAUGAUCACCGGCCGCGUGGGCUGGUGGGGGAAAGAUUUUUUGGUUGGGGAUGGGACUCGCGGCCUAUCAACUUGUUGGUUAGGCAAUGGCUCACCCAAGGCGACCACUGGUAGCCGGCCUGACAGGGUGACCGGCCACUCUGGGACUGAUACGCAGCCCACACUCCUACUGGAGGCAGCAGUGGGGAAUAUUGCUUCAUGGGCGAAGGCCUUGAUGCUGCAACGCCCCGUGCUGGAUGACGGCCUUCGGGUUGGAGUCCUCUUUUAGUAUGGAAUAUUCGAAAGUGACGGUACCUGCAUAUAAAGCACCGGCUAUGCUCGUGCCCGCACCCUCGGUAUUACGUUUCGUGCAAGCGUUGCCCUGACUCUUUGGGCGAAAGAACUUGCAUGUGGUUUGUCGCGUCUGCUGUGAAAUCCCGAGGCUCAACCUCGGGCUUGCAGUGGGUACGGGCAGACUAGAGUGCGGUAGGGGAGAUUGGAAUUCCUGGUGUAGCGGUGGAAUGCGCAGAUAUCAGGAGGAACACCGAUGGCGAAGGCAGAUCUCUGGGCCGUAACUGACGCUGAGGAGCGAAAGCAUGGGGAGCGAACAGGAUUAGAUACCCUGGUAGUCCAUGCCGUAAACGUUGGGCGCUAGAUGUAGGGACCUUUCCACGGUUUCUGUGUCGUAGCUAACGCAUUAAGCGCCCCGCCUGGGGAGUACGGCCGCAAGGCUAAAACUCAAAGGAAUUGACGGGGGCCCGCACAAGCGGCGGAGCAUGCGGAUUAAUUCGAUGCAACGCGAAGAACCUUACCAAGGCUUGACAUACACCGGAAACGGCCAGAGAUGGUCGCCCCCUUGUGGUCGGUGUACAGGUGGUGCAUGGUUGUCGUCAGCUCGUGUCGUGAGAUGUUGGGUUAAGUCCCGCAACGAGCGCAACCCUCGUUCUAUGUUGCCAGCGGGUUAUGCCGGGGACUCAUAGGAGACUGCCGGGGUCAACUCGGAGGAAGGUGGGGAUGACGUCAAAUCAUCAUGCCCCUUAUGUCUUGGGCUUCACGCAUGCUACAAUGGCCGGUACAAAGGGCUGCGAUACCGUAAGGUGGAGCGAAUCCCAAAAAGCCGGUCUCAGUUCGGAUUGAGGUCUGCAACUCGACCUCAUGAAGUCGGAGUCGCUAGUAAUCGCAGAUCAGCAACGCUGCGGUGAAUACGUUCCCGGGCC
This 1343-nucleotide ribosomal RNA is filed under the name uncultured bacterium. RNAcentral describes it as "bacterial SSU rRNA". It matches the Rfam family "Bacterial small subunit ribosomal RNA", at positions 28 to 1380 of the family's 1533-position model. The record is from RNAcentral.